This 253-nucleotide ribosomal RNA is filed under the name uncultured bacterium. RNAcentral's name for it is "partial 16S ribosomal RNA". It matches the Rfam family "Bacterial small subunit ribosomal RNA", at positions 524 to 776 of the family's 1533-position model. The record is from RNAcentral.
UACGUAGGCAGCAAACGUUGUUCGGAAUUACUGGGCGUAAAGAGUGUGUAGGCGGUUUUGUAAGUUUGGUGUGAAAUCUCCCGGCUUAACUGGGAGGGUGCGCCGAAAACUGCAAGGCUUGAGUGCUGGAGAGGAGAGCGGAAUUCCUGGUGUAGCGGUGAAAUGCGUAGAUAUCAGGAGGAACACCGGUGGCGAAGGCGGGUCUCUGGGCCGAUACUGACGCUGAGGAGCGAAAGCGUGGGGAGCGAACAGG